GGCCAAUCAGAAGAAGCUCCACUGAACUAAAAGAAUAGCAGCUGAUUAAUAAUAAGUACUCCAUGUGAACAUUUGAGUCCAUUUGUGUAGAAUAACAAAGCUGUGUGUAUGAGAGCGAUGUAAUGUCCAUGUUUCCAUGCUGAAAGAGGAAGUGCUGCUCUGACCCCCCUCCUCCUUUCAGGUUGGAGCCUGCUGGAGUCCGAUGGUUGACACCAGGUCUGAGGAAGUAUUCCUGUGAACUCACACUCGACACAAACACAGUAAACAGAGACCUCAAACUGUCUGACAACAACAGGAAGGUGACAUAUGUGAAUGAGGUUCAGUCAUAUCCU
This is a long non-coding RNA of Sebastes umbrosus (honeycomb rockfish), 332 nucleotides long. RefSeq lists it as uncharacterized. The transcript has 4 exons. Lineage: Eukaryota; Metazoa; Chordata; Actinopteri; Perciformes; Sebastidae. The record is from RefSeq and is a predicted model, not a curated record.